UACAGAGGUCUCAAGCGUUGUUCGGAUUCAUUGGGCGUAAAGGGUGCGUAGGCGGCGCGGUAAGUCGGGUGUGAAAUCUCGGAGCUUAACUCCGAAACUGCAUUCGAUACUGCCGUGCUUGAGGACUGGAGAGGAGACUGGAAUUUACGGUGUAGCGGUGAAAUGCGUAGAUAUCGAGAGGAACACCUGCGGCGAAGGCGGGUUGCUGGGCUGACACUGACGCUGAGGCGCGAAAGCCAGGGGAGCGAACGGG
RNAcentral lists this ribosomal RNA (253 nucleotides) under uncultured bacterium. Its description in RNAcentral is "partial 16S ribosomal RNA". It matches the Rfam family "Bacterial small subunit ribosomal RNA", at positions 524 to 776 of the family's 1533-position model. The record is from RNAcentral.